Molecule: long non-coding RNA, 2087 nt
Organism: Neofelis nebulosa (Clouded leopard)
Lineage: Eukaryota; Metazoa; Chordata; Mammalia; Carnivora; Felidae
Exons: 2
Source: RefSeq, a predicted model, not a curated record
GGGGGGAGAGGGGCGUCUAAAUUCACCUGACACCGAGGUCGGCCUUUUGCAAGGUGGCCUCUACAUUUCUGCCCAAGGGUAGGGAGCAAAGAAAGAGGCAGAUGCUGUAGAAGGAAAGGCCAUGGAGCCCCUCGUGCCCCCCGUACCCUGCCCAUAGGCCCGUUACCCCAAGCCAACCUGAACAUUGCCAACUGAAAAGCCUGCCGUUAGUCUCCCCGGGCCUGUAGCAUCUUGGGAACGAGAUGGCUGGCCGUGGGGCAGCCCCUGCGGAAGAUCACGUUAACUUCAGCUCAGCAAACCACAACCUCGGGAUGCAAGUUCAAAGAGCGGCAGAAGCAUUCUGAGCAUUGAGCAUUUUUCAACAGAAAUCGUAAGGAGCCACGAGCAAGCGAGAUUGGGUUUGUAGUGAACUGUCCUGUGGUGGUCCGUGAGAGACUCGGGUGCUUUGGGUCAAAACCUGUUUUUAAAAUAUGUGCGUCUGAUGAUUUUUUUUUUAAGUUUAUUUUAUUUAUUUUGAGAGAGAGCAUGCGCACGCGUGCGAGGAAGCACGGGAGGGGCAGAGAGAAACCGUAGAGAGAGCAUCCCAAGCAGGCUCCACACUGUCAGCACAGAGCUCGACGCGGGGCUCGAACCCACGAACCGCAAGAUCGUGACCUGAGGUGAAAUCAAGAGGCGGACGCUUAACCAACAGAGCCACCCAGGCGCCCCGUAAAAUAUGUGAAAAUCCCAGGCGCCCUUUGUGUUAAAACGAGUUUUCGCAGCUUCCACUUGCAGAGAGAGCCGGAUUACAUAAUUGCAUUCAGGAGGCCACCACUAGAAAGUAGCUCAUGUGCACGAUCAACGCUAAAUUCUUUGGGGAGCGGGGGAAAGAACCACACCUUCUUGGACUUUCUGUGUUGUACUUUUCACAAUCGAGCGCAAUGGCCAUCGGGGGUCUUCUUCUGAGCCGUCACAUUGCUUAAAAUGAGUGCAUGUCGGACAUUUCCAGAGGGGCGAGCUCGGUAAGCACCGAAAAGGGAAGGGUCUCCUCGAGGCUUUGACGGGCCCCGUCGGUUUGGGUUUUUCGGAACGAAGGUGUAGAGCCCUUUAACUUCGGAGCAAGUUGCCCUCGUUCAACUCGUUCAAAGACUCUCAGACACUUGGAGGAAGAGGAGGGGAGAAGUUCUAGGCUUUGCUCCGCACAGGCGAACACUCCACGGUGACAUUUGAAAGGCACUGUGGAGGUAAUGACUGCUCCAAAUAUACUCAGAAACGCUUCGCUCUUCAUUGUUCUUUAUGUGUCUCAUUAUUGGCAUGUCAAAAAAAAAAGUUGCAAGUGACACAUGUUGUUCCUCUGAAAAAUAAAGUCCAAGUCCGCAGGUGAAACCUAAGCAUAUACGCGGAAAGCGGAGGCCUGAACGUCACCUCCAGGAGCACAGAGACCGCGUCGCCUCUGGCUGCGGCCGUUGUAACAGAAAGGCAUUUCAUUUACUGCGGGUUCGCCCAUCACUGCUCCAUUCUGCCUUCUGCGGUGCCUGGGAUGCUUAUCGGUACAGAUCUGAGCACAAUCCCCAAGGAGCGAGCAGAAGAAUCCUGAACAUUCCAGUCCAUUGUUUCAGUAACACGGCCCGGCCCGUCUGCUAACUCCACUCUCCGUAUCAGAUUGCGGUUCGGUCCUUGGGGGCUGCAAGGGCCAUCGCCGCCAAGUCAGCUUCCCUUCUGGGGCUUAUAACUUGAGCCACCUUUGUUCUGACCUCAGGACCUUUGCUUCUGCUCUGCCUUCUGCCCCGAGGAGCACUGCCCCCUGGUGUGCGUGGCCGGGCCUUUUUGCCAUUCAGGGGUCAGCACCUCACGGCACCCACCAACACCCGGUCCCUUAUUGUGUUUCCUUCCUGCCACUUAUUACUUACGUGACAUUUGAGCCUUCAUUUGUCUACCUGUUCCAUUUCAGAAUCCCUGACUCAAACAUCAGGCACGCAAACUUGUUCUGAGCUCAUCUCUCCGAAAACACGGUACCGGGCCAUGAGUCACCUUAGACGUGAAAGCAAAAGCUCACUUUAUGUUAGUGAUUCAUUUGUGUUUUUGAAAUUAAACAAUAAUUUCCUUUA